Molecule: long non-coding RNA, 1755 nt
Organism: Mus musculus (house mouse)
Lineage: Eukaryota; Metazoa; Chordata; Mammalia; Rodentia; Muridae
Product: predicted gene, 38819
Exons: 2
Source: RefSeq, a predicted model, not a curated record
CUUCUUGGAACUCGACCAUGCCAGAGCAAAGUCUAAGGGUCAGACAAAGCCAGGCUGAUUUUGCACAGACCAGAGGGCUACCAAGAAGCUCGAAGGUGUCUGGAAGUUGCAGAGGACAGAAGAGAGCCAUAACAGGCAUUCCUUAUGAAACUGUCACAUCUGUUCUAGAAACAUCCAUCGAAGGAGUCACCAGUACUUCUCAGCUCUUCACAGGAAUAUAAGGAGGCCCAAGCCGGUCUAGAACACACUGAUGGAGAUGCUGGAAGGUGGAAAGGCUAGAGGCUCUGCUGGAGGAAGCCUUCUCCUCCCCGCUGGCCAGUCGAGUGUGGGAGCAGAGCUGAGGAGUCAGCUCUCAGAAGGUGAGUGUGAGCACAGGGUGGUAGGACAGAGAGAGAGGAAAGACCUAAGCAGGUCCAUGCUGAGGGGCCAUGGGGAACUUCUGCCUAGCCCCCUUUAAAAUACAUUCUUACCAGGUACACUCAAGUGACCCGAGAAGGUAACAGAGAGCAGGUCCUAUGCACUCAACUGUCCUUGGCACACGCCCAUCCCUUCCUAGACUCUCAUGUGGAAGCAGCUUUCUAGCCCCUGAUGAUGUUCCAGAACAGGGAACAGGAGAUUAUUGGAGGUGCAACCCCAGCUGUGUGUGCUGUGGCCGGGGAAGAGGGGAGGCUCUUGGCAGGUUCUGAAGUGGUUUGGAGUGAUAGGAAGCAGGCUCACAGAUACCUAGGACUCGGCUAGCUAGCUGGCUUCCUCCGGGGUCUGUGGGCUGCUGAUCUGUCACUCCCUAGAAUGCUCACUGUUGAGGAGAGGGCUGAAUUGAAGGAAAGACCAGGCUCCCACACAAUAGGGCCUGGGUGUGGAAUCAGGACACCCAGAUACACGAGCUCCCAGAAUCUCAGGAAACCAGGGGAGAUAAGAGGGGAGGGGCUGCAGGAAACUCCACCCACCCUCAGCCAGGGAGAUGUUCUAGAGCACCCACUGCUCCUGCACAGAGCGGCUGAGCAAGGAGGGAGGGUGAACAUCACAAGACUUAGUUUCCACAUCUGGCCCCAGGACCUCCAAGACUGCACCCAGAGCUUGUCAUGGUGGCCUCCAGUCUCAUUCUCAGAAGUGGUCACUGCGGGGAACAAAGGCCAGCAUCAGGGCCCAUCAUCUGGCCCAUUCUCGUUUUCUAAACUAGAGACCAAUGCCUGGUAUGGGGAGGACCAAACAACAGAAGGCAUUUCUCCACACGGCCCAGGAGCCACAAGAGGGCAGGUCAGAGGUGUCAAAGGGAAAAUGGCCGCCAUUUGGGAGGGGACUUUGGGGAUGAUGGGGUCAGACUCUUCUUCUCCAGGAUUCAGCCAGCACGCAUGAGGUCCAGGCAGCCUCAUUCAUGGAAACAUCUCAUAUGGUCACGUCUGCAUCUCAGGCCCUCCGUCUAGCUCUCAGGAGCAAGACUGAGCACUUCUAGUCGCCUGCUCUAUUCUAAGCACUCUGCAGCGUCUACACAUCAGAGGAGCGAUAUGUGCUCCCAUUGUUGCCAUCCCAGGAGUUGAGAAACUGAGGCACAGUUAUUUCACUUGUUUGCUUUUUUGUUUGCACUGUGAGGCAGUCUCUUGCAGUGUGUAUUCACCUUGUAUUUGCUUUGUAGCCAAGGACAACCUUGAAUUUUUGAUUCUCCUGACUCCAUCUCCCAAAUGUUGGGAUGACAGGUUUAUGUAGUAGUGGGAGUUGAAUUUAAGACUUUAAUAUCAAUUGAGCUACAGCCCCAAA